This 253-nucleotide ribosomal RNA is filed under the name uncultured bacterium. Its description in RNAcentral is "partial 16S ribosomal RNA". It matches the Rfam family "Bacterial small subunit ribosomal RNA", at positions 524 to 776 of the family's 1533-position model. The record is from RNAcentral.
GCCAGAGGGGGCAAGCGUUGCUCGGAAUUACUGGGCGGAAAGGGCGCGUAGGCGGGAUGGCAAGUCGGUCGUGAAAUCCCUCGGCUCAACUGAGGAUCGUCGAUCGAUACUGCCGUUCUUGAGGAUUGCAGAGGAGACUGGAAUUCCCGGUGUAGCGGUGAAAUGUGUAGAGAUCGGGAGGAACACCGGUGGCGAAGGCGGGUCUCUGGGCAAUUCCUGACGCUGAGGAGCGAAAGCGUGGGGAGCAAACAGG